GGAUGUGAGGGCAAUCUGGGUACAACAUCUGUCACCCCAUUGAUUGCCAGGGCUGAUUUGACUGAUCUGACUGGCAAGGCGGGUGUCCUCUUCUUCCCUCAUGGCUUCAUGUGCAUCCUUCCUGAAGCUGUGUGCUCAGUUGAAGAGGAGGACCAUCCCAGAUAGAGGAGAACUGAUCUUUGGUCAAGUGGCUGAGCUCCUGUGCUAGAACCUCCAAAGAAGCUCUCAAGAGAUGACUUAAAGUGUAUGGGAGGAGCCGGGUGCUGGUGUCUCACACCUGUAAUC
Molecule: unclassified non-coding RNA, 285 nt
Organism: Castor canadensis (American beaver)
Lineage: Eukaryota; Metazoa; Chordata; Mammalia; Rodentia; Castoridae
Gene: 7SK
Rfam family: 7SK RNA
About the family: 7SK was discovered as an abundant small nuclear RNA in the mid-70s but a possible function has only recently been suggested. Two independent studies have found that 7SK RNA binds the CDK9/cyclin T complex (known as elongation factor P-TEFb). P-TEFb activates transcription by phosphorylating the C-terminal domain of RNA polymerase II.
Source: Ensembl